This 723-nucleotide ribosomal RNA is filed under the name uncultured Pelagibacteraceae bacterium. RNAcentral describes it as "bacterial SSU rRNA". It matches the Rfam family "Bacterial small subunit ribosomal RNA", at positions 125 to 884 of the family's 1533-position model. Lineage: Bacteria; Pseudomonadati; Pseudomonadota; Alphaproteobacteria; Candidatus Pelagibacterales; Candidatus Pelagibacteraceae. The record is from RNAcentral.
UCUUCCCUUUGGUGAGGAAUAACACGAGGAAACUUGUGCUAAUACCUCAUAAGUCUUUACGGAGAAAGCUUUAUGCGCCGAUGGAUGAGCCCGCACUUGAUUAGUUAGUUGGUAGGGUAAUGGCCUACCAAGACUUUGAUCUAUAGCUGAUCUGAGAGGAUGAUCAGCCACAUUGGGACUGAGACACGGCCCAAACUCCUACGGGAGGCAGCAGUAGGGAAUAUUGCACAAUGGAGGAAACUCUGAUGCAGCGAUGCCGCGUGAGUGAAGAAGGCCUUUGGGUUGUAAAGCUCUUUCGUCGGGGAAGAAAAUGACUGUACCCGAAUAAGAAGGUCCGGCUAACUUCGUGCCAGCAGCCGCGGUAAUACGAAGGGACCUAGCGUAGUUCGGAAUUACUGGGCUUAAAGAGUUCGUAGGUGGUUAAAAAAGUUGGUGGUGAAAUCCCAGAGCUUAACUCUGGAACUGCCAUCAAAACUUUUUAGCUAGAGUAUGAUAGAGGAAAGCAGAAUUUCUAGUGUAGAGGUGAAAUUCGUAGAUAUUAGAAAGAAUACCAAUUGCGAAGGCAGCUUUCUGGAUCAUUACUGACGCUGAGGAACGAAAGCAUGGGUAGCGAAGAGGAUUAGAUACCCUCGUAGUCCAUGCCGUAAACGAUGUGUGUUAGACGUUGGAAAUUUAUUUUCAGUGUCGCAGCGAAAGCAUUAAACACACCGCCUGGGGAGUACG